GGAGAGCUUUUAUUGUGGAAGUUUUGAGUCUUGUUUUAUUCGGAGUUCUGAUGUUGUCAUUGGAAGCUGGAGCUCUAUGCUUGGAGAGCUUUUAUUGUGGAAGUUUUGAGCCUUGUUUCAUUCGGAGUUCUGAUGCUGUCAUUGGAAGCUGGAGGUCGAUGCUUGGCGAUCGAGCUUGAUGCAAGAAAGGAAUAUAUAGAUAAUUGAAAAAUAGAAAUAAUUCUUCUUAACUUGGACAAUGAUAAAGUGGAUGGCGAGAAGGAAAUGAAAGUAUCUUGUUAAGAUGAGUCGCGUGCUGAGAUACAGAAACGCGUAUUGCGAACAGCUUUUCAGUGGAAAGUUCUGCUUAAGUGGACGAGUUCAAAACGUGUCUGGAUGAUUCGUUGCGCUCAGCCUCCGCGCGAGAAAAUGCACAGAUACACGAAACUUUUAACCCUCGGAGUACUGCGGGCGGAUAUUUACGUCCAGCAAAAACAGUCUGCAGCCUAAAGGCGCAUUUAUCCGCUCAGAAUGAAACGUUACCUAUGGGUAAUGGCGGAUAUGUGCGCUCGGCAAUUAUCGUUCAGAUUUACUACUACAUCUCGCCGAGCCUACAAGCGAAAAGUGAUUUCUAUCGCUUUCCAAUCCAUCCGUUGCCACAUGCAUUAAAGAAACUCUUUCAAUUA
Megalopta genalis is the source of this 665-nucleotide non-coding RNA. The record is from RefSeq and is a predicted model, not a curated record. Lineage: Eukaryota; Metazoa; Arthropoda; Insecta; Hymenoptera; Halictidae.